RNAcentral lists this ribosomal RNA (83 nucleotides) under Chromobacterium haemolyticum. RNAcentral describes it as "partial 16S ribosomal RNA". It matches the Rfam family "Bacterial small subunit ribosomal RNA", at positions 1 to 80 of the family's 1533-position model. The record is from RNAcentral. Lineage: Bacteria; Pseudomonadati; Pseudomonadota; Betaproteobacteria; Neisseriales; Chromobacteriaceae.
AUUGAACUGAAGAGUUUGAUCCUGGCUCAGAUUGAACGCUGGCGGCAUGCUUUACACAUGCAAGUCGAACGGUAACAGGGUGC